AUAUUUAUUAGUUUAUUUAGAAGUGAUUCCAUUUAAAAAUAUCGCUCUUUUUUUCCAUGAUAUUCGUAAAGGAUUUGUAUUUUAUCUUGUUCGAAUCUUGCUAUAUUCGUUCCCAUCACUAUCUAUUCAAAUUGACGACUGUUUAAAAUUUUUUUACCGAUAUUAUUAUAGUAAAAAAUUUGAUCUUUUGACGAUCAUUUAAUAACUUUACGGCAUCUUAAUGAUUCGUAUGUGAAUUUUUGCUUGUAAACAUUCCCUAAUGAUUACGUACCGAGUUUUAAACGGAUAUUCGCCAGCAUCGAAGGCGAGGUUGAUUUUAUGGUUGAGAAAGCACGCGCACGACACAAAAGGUUUACUCUCUUUUGAGGGUAGUUCGGUUCACCGUUUUCUUGCUGAAAAUCAAUAUACAGGCGACCAAUGAGCGCAAGCCUUGAUGGUUUCCAUGCAUCUCUGUUCGAUUUGACACUCGUUGCACGCGAAACACGCUCGUUCUCGCGAGCCAAGUCUCAUAGGGACUUUCCAUCUUGAUAUUUGCUUUUGGCAAACAUAGUACUCACGCUCCGUUUAUCGACAGAAUGCCAUUUUCGCGCCAAGAAGAAAGCAUUUUCUCCAUGUUGUUCACUCCGAAUUUGUUUGUAUUUACUGUGUAUUUCCUACUUUCCCUAUAUUGGAAGAACAUGAUGAGAAUGCGUUUAAUGUGGUAAGCCUCGUUCAGAUUAGUCGAGUUACUUGUACUCAAGCAGUUUGAAUUGAAGUAAUUGAAAGCCUUGGUUAAUUUAAUGGAAUGUUAUUUGAAUUCAAGUACAGUAAUAAAAAGCGUUCGUUGUUAUACAUAUACUAAUUCUUGGAAAUGGUCAGCUCGAAGUGGAUUUCAAGUAUGCUGAAAUAAACUAUGAUAAAAUUAAAUCAAAUCUGACUGAUCCUUUUGACUCGUAUUUUUUUCCAAUUGAAUUUAUAGAAAUUAACUGUCAGAUGAUUGUGGAUACUAAAGUAAUAAGGAUGCAUGACUUAAUUUGAAACGAUAGAUAGAAAGAGGAGUGAACAAGAAGAAACAUUAUUGCGAAAAAAAUUGGGAACCUUAGAUUUUAAGGUUAUUUUCUUUCGAACGAUGAAUAUUAAAAGGAUCUUUUAUAUAGAAGAUAGAUUGUUUUAUUGGCUGGAAACAGAACGUUCCGGAUGUCGCUGACCUUGAUCGGCUCGAGAUUGGCACUUCUUUCAAACGAUUCAUCGAGGAGUCGAUUAAAAAUUUAAUCGUCAAGCUUGCGAAUGAAUCGAUCAAACGUACAUUUUGAUUUGUGAACUAAAGAAGCAUAUUUAUAUUUUGCAUAAUGCACGUGGCAGACAUCUGUUAUUAUUCUAUUAAGGCGUUGAUUGAGAGAUAGAUGUUGAUUGAUUACAAUAGAAUUUGAUUAUAUUAGAUUUAGUUUAUUUUAAAUAAAAGAGCAACUCAAAAUCUUUAAUGAGAAGAUUCAUUGAUUAUUUUAAUUUUACAGUAAUAUUUUGAAUGAAUGAAUGGUUUGAAAAUGAAAUACAAUGUAUAGUGAAUAAUUUUGAAAUUAGUAAUGA
Molecule: long non-coding RNA, 1566 nt
Filed under: Apis mellifera (honey bee)
Lineage: Eukaryota; Metazoa; Arthropoda; Insecta; Hymenoptera; Apidae
Description: uncharacterized LOC107964175
Source: RNAcentral